UGAGGAAUAUUGCGCAAUGGGCGAAAGCCUGACGCAGCGACACCGCGUGAAGGAUGAAGGCUUUAGGGUCGUAAACUUCUGUUAAGUGGAAGAAAAAAGUGGUCUUAAUACGGCCGCUCUAUGACGGUACCACUAGAGAAAGCACCGGCUAACUUCGUG
This 159-nucleotide ribosomal RNA is filed under the name uncultured bacterium. RNAcentral's name for it is "partial 16S ribosomal RNA". It matches the Rfam family "Bacterial small subunit ribosomal RNA", at positions 355 to 507 of the family's 1533-position model. The record is from RNAcentral.